GCAAGUUAUCCUGGCUAUC
RNAcentral lists this microRNA (19 nucleotides) under Solanum tuberosum (potato). RNAcentral's name for it is "stu-miR169e-3p". Its record names the gene stu-miR169e-3p. Lineage: Eukaryota; Viridiplantae; Streptophyta; Magnoliopsida; Solanales; Solanaceae. The record is from miRBase by way of RNAcentral.